GUCUAUGGCCAUACCACCCUGAACAUGCCCGAUCUCAUCUGAUCUCGGAAGCUAAGCAGGGUCGGCCCUCAUUAGUACUUGGAUGGGAGAAAGACAAUAAAAAACAAACAGAAAUAGAUU
Ursus americanus (American black bear) is the source of this 120-nucleotide ribosomal RNA. The record is from Ensembl. Lineage: Eukaryota; Metazoa; Chordata; Mammalia; Carnivora; Ursidae.